RNAcentral lists this ribosomal RNA (425 nucleotides) under Fusobacteriota bacterium. RNAcentral describes it as "Fusobacteria bacterium partial 16S ribosomal RNA". It matches the Rfam family "Bacterial small subunit ribosomal RNA", at positions 355 to 776 of the family's 1533-position model. The record is from RNAcentral. Lineage: Bacteria; Fusobacteriati; Fusobacteriota.
UGAGGAAUAUUGGUCAAUGGAGGAAACUCCGAACCAGCCAAGUCGCGUGAAGGAAGAAUGUCCUAUGGAUUGUAAACUUCUCUAGCGAGCGAGUAAGGACUUCUACGUGAUGGGCGUUUGAAAGUAGCCCGAGAAUAAGUAUCGGCCAACUCCGCGCCAGCAGCCGCGGUAAUACGGAGGAUACGAGCGUUAUCCGGAUUUAGUGGGUUUAAAGGGUGCGCAGGUGGUCCAGGAAGUCAGUGGUGAAGAGCUGAGGCUCAACCUCAGCCUUGCCGUUGAAACAGCAAGACUUUAGAGUACAUGAUGUGGGCGGAAUGCGUAGUGUAGCGGUGUAAUUCAUAGAUAUUACGCAGAACUCCGUUUACGAAGGGAGCUCACGAGGGUAUGUCUGACACUGAAGCACGAAAGCGGGGGGAGCAAGCAGG